CCUACGGGAGGCAGCAGUGGGGAAUAUUGGACAAUGGGCGAAAGCCUGAUCCAGCCAUGCCGCGUGUGUGAAGAAGGCCUUCGGGUUGUAAAGCACUUUCAGUGGGGAAGAAAGCCUUGGGGCUAAUACCCUCGAGGAAGGACAUCACCCACAGAAGAAGCACCGGCUAACUCCGUGCCAGCAGCCGCGGUAAUACGGAGGGUGCGAGCGUUAAUCGGAAUUACUGGGCGUAAAGCGCGCGUAGGCGGUCUGAUAAGCCGGUUGUGAAAGCCCCGGGCUCAACCUGGGAACGGCAUCCGGAACUGUCAGGCUAGAGUGCAGGAGAGGAAGGUAGAAUUCCCGGUGUAGCGGUGAAAUGCGUAGAGAUCGGGAGGAAUACCAGUGGCGAAGGCGGCCUUCUGGACUGACACUGACGCUGAGGUGCGAAAGCGUGGGUAGCAAACAGGAUUAGAUACCCGGUAGUC
Molecule: ribosomal RNA, 464 nt
Filed under: Vreelandella stevensii
Lineage: Bacteria; Pseudomonadati; Pseudomonadota; Gammaproteobacteria; Oceanospirillales; Halomonadaceae
Description: partial 16S ribosomal RNA
Rfam family: Bacterial small subunit ribosomal RNA
Source: RNAcentral